RNAcentral lists this ribosomal RNA (440 nucleotides) under uncultured bacterium. RNAcentral's name for it is "partial 16S ribosomal RNA". It matches the Rfam family "Bacterial small subunit ribosomal RNA", at positions 338 to 795 of the family's 1533-position model. The record is from RNAcentral.
CCUACGGGUGGCAGCAGUGGGGGAUAUUGCACAAUGGGGGGAACCCUGAUGCAGCGACGCCGCGUGAGCGAAGAAGUACCUCGGUAUGUAAAGCUCUAUCAGCAGGGAAGAAAAUGACGGUACCUGACUAAGAAGCCCCGGCUAAAUACGUGCCAGCAGCCGCGGUAAUACGUAUGGGGCAAGCGUUAUCCGGAUUUACUGGGUGUAAAGGGAGCGCAGACGGCAGCGCAAGUCUGGAGUGAAAUGCCGGGGCCCAACCCCGGAACUGCUCUGGAAACUGUGAAGCUGGAGUGCAGGAGAGGUAAGCGGAAUUCCUGGUGUAGCGGUGAAAUGCGUAGAUAUCAGGAGGAACACCGGCGGCGAAGGCGGCUUACUGGACUGUAACUGACGUUGAGGCUCGAAGGCGUGGGGAGCAAACAGGAUUAGAUACCCGAGUAGUC